This 537-nucleotide ribosomal RNA is filed under the name uncultured bacterium. RNAcentral's name for it is "bacterial SSU rRNA". It matches the Rfam family "Bacterial small subunit ribosomal RNA", at positions 974 to 1509 of the family's 1533-position model. The record is from RNAcentral.
CCUGGCCUUGACAUACUAAGAACUUUCCAGAGAUGGAUUGGUGCCUUCGGGAACUUAGAUACAGGUGCUGCAUGGCUGUCGUCAGCUCGUGUCGUGAGAUGUUGGGUUAAGUCCCGCAACGAGCGCAACCCUUUUCCUUAUUUGCCAGCGGGUUAAGCCGGGAACUUUAAGGAUACUGCCAGUGACAAACUGGAGGAAGGCGGGGACGACGUCAAGUCAUCAUGGCCCUUACGGCCAGGGCUACACACGUGCCACAAUGGUCGGUACAAAGGGUUGCUACCUCGCGAGAGGAUGCUAAUCUCAAAAAAGCCGAUCGUAGUCCGGAUCGCAGUCUGCAACUCGACUGCGUGAAGUCGGAAUCGCUAGUAAUCGCGGAUCAGAAUGCCGCGGUGAAUACGUUCCCGGGCCUUGUACACACCGCCCGUCACACCAUGGGAGUUUGUUGCACCAGAAGUAGGUAGUCUAACCGCAAGGAGGACGCUUACCACGGUGUGGCCGAUGACUGGGGUGAAGUCGUAACAAGGUAAGCGUAGAUGA